Molecule: ribosomal RNA, 475 nt
Filed under: uncultured bacterium
Lineage: Bacteria
Description: bacterial SSU rRNA
Rfam family: Bacterial small subunit ribosomal RNA
Source: RNAcentral
GACAAACGCUGGCGGAAUGUAUUAGGCAUGCAAGUCGCACGAACCUUCGGGUUAGUGGCGGACGGGUGAGUAACACGUGGGUAACCUGCCUCGUAGUGGGGAAUAACUCGCCGAAAGGCGAGCUAAUACCGCAUAACACCCCUGGUGUGAAUCCAGGUGGUAAAAGCUCCGGCGCUAUGAGAGGGGCCCGCGGCCGAUUAGCUUGUUGGUGGGGUAAUGGCCUACCAAGGCGACGAUCGGUAGCUGGUCUGAGAGGAUGGUCAGCCACACGGGGACUGAGAUACGGCCCCGACUCCUACGGGAGGCAGCAGCUAAGAAUCUUGCGCAAUGGGCGAAAGCCUGACGCAGCAAUUCCGCGUGGGGGACGAAGGCCCUCGGGUCGUAAACCCCUUUUGUGAGGGAAGAAGUUCUGACGGUACCUCACGAAUAAGACACGGCUAACUACGUGCCAGCAGCCGCGGUAAGUCUCGCGUGA